AUCCUUUUGUAAUUCAUAAGCAUGAUGAUUGGGUGUUCACUCACAUAUAUGAGAUGUGCCUCCCUCAAUCCUUGUUACAACAUUGGCACAUUACCUCUCUGAUG
Molecule: small nucleolar RNA, 104 nt
Filed under: Propithecus coquereli (Coquerel's sifaka)
Lineage: Eukaryota; Metazoa; Chordata; Mammalia; Primates; Indriidae
Description: Small nucleolar RNA U13 (ENSPCOG00000011208.1)
Rfam family: Small nucleolar RNA U13
Source: Rfam by way of RNAcentral